UCAGGCCUAACACAUGCAAGUCGUACGGGGAUUUUUAAUUCAAGUGGCGGACGGGUGAGUAACACGUAAGAAUUUGCCUUUAGGAGGGGGACAACAACUGGAAACGGUUGCUAAUACCCCAUAUGCUUUCGAGUGAAAUGGAUUUUUCCGCCUAAAGAGAAGCUUGCGGCUGAUUAGCUUGUUGGUGAGGUAAUGGCUCACCAAGGCGACGAUCAGUAUCUGGUUUGAGAGGAUGAUCAGACACACUGGAACUGAGACACGGUCCAGACUCCUACGGGAGGCAGCAGUGGGGAAUUUUCCGCAAAGGGCGAAAGCCUGACGGAGCAAUCUCGCGUGAG
RNAcentral lists this ribosomal RNA (338 nucleotides) under uncultured bacterium. RNAcentral describes it as "bacterial SSU rRNA". It matches the Rfam family "Bacterial small subunit ribosomal RNA", at positions 42 to 405 of the family's 1533-position model. The record is from RNAcentral.